Molecule: non-coding RNA, 110 nt
Organism: Amphimedon queenslandica
Lineage: Eukaryota; Metazoa; Porifera; Demospongiae; Haplosclerida; Niphatidae
Source: Rfam
ACCUCGAUGUUGAAUUGCAGUAACCUGGGGGUACAGCAGCUUCCACGGGUGGGACUAUUCGUCCAUUAAAACCGUACAUGAUUUGAGUUCAGACCGGCGUGAGCUAGGUC